GAGUGCUCUGGUUCAAAAAGAAAAAAAGAGAAUUUGAUAAUUAGAAGCUGAAUACAAUGAAUUAUAUAUAACAGGAAAAUGUGACCAAUUACCUCAUCAUAAUCUUUUGUGUCAUAAAACUAGAAAAACAACUGUGGGGCUAUUCACUAGUGGUUUUGCAUUUUUCUGGGACCAUAAUACAGAUUUUUAAAAAUCAUAUUUUUCCAGAUACAAAUCGAGCUUUAAGACUGUUGGAAGAAUAUGCAAAAAAUUAAGGAAACCGGAGGAACAGCCACUGAAGAAAGCGGUCAAAAAAGUGAUGGGCAUCUUUAAGAGUUCAUUAUUUCAGGCUUUACUGGAUGCUAACCAAGCUUUAAGAGAAAAACCCAAAGAUGAAUAACUUCACAGUGGAGAUUUCGGCACAAGGACCGAAAUGAAAAAGGCCAGAAUGAAGAAAGCAUUACCAGCAAAAAUUAAGCUUAUGUGCCUUUUUUCAGGCUCCAUCCGGGAGCUAUGCUUAAAGUUCUUUACUAAUCUCAGAACUACUUGGCACAGUGGGUUGCCUCUCAUUACUUUGAUUUGUCGUUUACCAAUAAUUAACACUGCAAUAAUUACCUCACAUUUUUUGACUUUAUCUUUGAUGUUGGAGAAUCUCUGGAGAAGCUGCGGUGGUUCUAGGUAUAGAGUGACAUCUUGUGGCAAAAUUAGUGAAAAAAUAUUUUUGUAACUACAUCUGCCAUAGGAUUCUGUUUGCAAAAUUUUUUCAGGGUAUGGAAAUAAAUAAAUGUGAACUCUCUUUGAUUUUGGUGCA
This 790-nucleotide long non-coding RNA is filed under the name Monodelphis domestica (gray short-tailed opossum). RNAcentral describes it as "lncRNA (ENSMODG00000044570.1)". Lineage: Eukaryota; Metazoa; Chordata; Mammalia; Didelphimorphia; Didelphidae. The record is from RNAcentral.